RNAcentral lists this ribosomal RNA (484 nucleotides) under uncultured bacterium. RNAcentral's name for it is "partial 16S ribosomal RNA". It matches the Rfam family "Bacterial small subunit ribosomal RNA", at positions 29 to 507 of the family's 1533-position model. The record is from RNAcentral.
AUUGAACGCUAGCGGGAUGCUUUACACAUGCAAGUCGAACGGCAGCGCGGACUUCGGUCUGGCGGCGAGUGGCGAACGGGUGAGUAAUGUAUCGGAACGUGCCCAGUAGCGGGGGAUAACUACGCGAAAGCGUAGCUAAUACCGCAUACGCCCUACGGGGGAAAGCAGGGGAUCGUAAGACCUUGCACUAUUGGAGCGGCCGAUAUCGGAUUAGCUAGUUGGUGAGGUAACGGCUCACCAAGGCGACGAUCCGUAGCUGGUUUGAGAGGACGACCAGCCACACUGGGACUGAGACACGGCCCAGACUCCUAAGGGAGGCAGCAGUGGGGAAUUUUGGACAAUGGGGGCAACCCUGAUCCAGCCAUCCCGCGUGUGGGAUGAAGGCCUUCGGGUUGUAAAGGACUUUUGGCAGGGAAGAAAAGGCGGGGGCUAAUACCCCGUGGAACUGACGGUACCUGCAGAAUAAGCACCGGCUAACUACGUG